CGGUAAUACGGAGGGUGCAAGCGUUAAUCGGAAUUACUGGGCGUAAAGCGCACGCAGGCGGUCUGUCAAGUCGGAUGUGAAAUCCCCGGGCUCAACCUGGGAACUGCAUUCGAAACUGGCAGGCUAGAGUCUUGUAGAGGGGGGUAGAAUUCCAGGUGUAGCGGUGAAAUGCGUAGAGAUCUGGAGGAAUACCGGUGGCGAAGGCGGCCCCCUGGACAAAGACUGACGCUCAGGUGCGAAAGCGUGGGGAGCAAACAGGAUUA
RNAcentral lists this ribosomal RNA (263 nucleotides) under Enterobacter cloacae subsp. dissolvens. RNAcentral's name for it is "partial 16S ribosomal RNA". It matches the Rfam family "Bacterial small subunit ribosomal RNA", at positions 518 to 780 of the family's 1533-position model. Lineage: Bacteria; Pseudomonadati; Pseudomonadota; Gammaproteobacteria; Enterobacterales; Enterobacteriaceae. The record is from RNAcentral.